AGUGAACGCUGGCGGUGGGCCUAAUACAUGCAAGUCGAACGGCAGGAUGGUAAGCUCGUGCCCCUGAGGGUAGCGACUGGCGGAUGGGUGAGGAAUGGAUAACCUACUACUAUUUCGGGGGGGAUAACGGAGGGCCACUUACGCUACUAGCUCAUAUGUUCAACGGCAGGGAUCAGUGGAUCAUCGCGCCUUGCGCGUUACAAUUAGCUGAUGUCGCAUUAGCUAGUCGGCGGGGUAAAGGCACACCAAGGCAACGAUCCGUAGCUGAUCUGAGAGGGUGAUCGGCCACACUGGAACUGAGACACGGUCCAGACUCCUACGGGAGGCAGCAGUAGGGAAUAUUGGGCAAUGGGCGAAAGCCUGAUCCAGCAAUGCCGCGUGAGUGAAGAAGGCCUUCGGGUUGUAAAGCCCUUUUGUUGGGAAAGAAAAGCAGUGGAUUAAUACCCGGCUGUUCUGACGGUACCCAAAGAGAAAGCCACGGCUAACUUCGUG
RNAcentral lists this ribosomal RNA (492 nucleotides) under uncultured bacterium. Its description in RNAcentral is "partial 16S ribosomal RNA". It matches the Rfam family "Bacterial small subunit ribosomal RNA", at positions 29 to 507 of the family's 1533-position model. The record is from RNAcentral.